Molecule: long non-coding RNA, 477 nt
Organism: Gallus gallus (chicken)
Lineage: Eukaryota; Metazoa; Chordata; Aves; Galliformes; Phasianidae
Source: Ensembl
CUCUAUCGCGGGGCGGAUUUUUCCCCUUUCUGUCAGACUCUGACUUUAAAAGAUGUCUGAGCGCCCAGGCGGCGGUGGCGGUGUGCCAAUGGGUGUGGGGAGGCGGAAGAUACAGUGCUGUGGGGACGUGGCUGUGAGGAGUAUCGCGUGUGGUGCAACUAUCGCAGCAGCUGCCCAGAAUGAAUCUCCAUAUGGAUGGCUGGGAUCUCCUACCAGGUGAUGCUGCAAAGUCUCCAGCAGAAAUGGAUGGAUAUGGCUGAGCUCACCUGCUGAGUGUGCAGCACGCUCAUUGCUGCCUGCCAGGUAACAGUGCUGCUAAGUCCCCGUGUCACAGAUUCCUGACAUGCACUCAACUUCCCGAACCAGGCGGCAGCAAAACGCAGCUCCACGCACAGUGGCUGCGCACCUUUAGUGGUGCUUGUGAUGUUACUCAUUAGCUCAAGCUGUGCGCCAGAGCGAGCACGUGCAAACCCAUCC